CCUACGGGAGGCAGCAGUAGGGAAUCUUUCACAAUGGGCGAAAGCCUGAUGGAGCAACGCCGCGUGCAGGAUGAAGGCCUUCGGGUUGUAAACUGCUUUUAUAAGCGAGAAAUAUGAUGGUAACUUAUGAAUAAGGAUCGGCUAACUACGUGCCAGCAGCCGCGGUCAUACGUAGGAUCCGAGCAUUAUCCGGAGUGAAUGGGUGUAAAGAGUUGCGUAGGUGGCAUAAUAAGCAGCUUGUGAAAUCUGGUGGCUCAACCAUUCAGACUAUUAGAUAAACAGUGAAGCUCGAGACCGUUAGGGGUAACUGGAAUUUCUAGUGUAGGAGUGAAAUCCGUAGAUAUUAGGAGGAACACCAAUAGCGUAGGCAGGUUGCUGGGACGGUUCUGACACUAAGGCACGAAAGCGUAGGGAGCAAACGGGAUUAGAUACCCUAGUAGUC
This 442-nucleotide ribosomal RNA is filed under the name uncultured bacterium. RNAcentral's name for it is "partial 16S ribosomal RNA". It matches the Rfam family "Bacterial small subunit ribosomal RNA", at positions 338 to 795 of the family's 1533-position model. The record is from RNAcentral.